GGGGUUGUGGUUCAGUGGUAGAACACUCUCCUAGCAUGUCCGGCGAGGCACUGGGUUUGAUCCUCAGCACCACA
RNAcentral lists this transfer RNA (74 nucleotides) under Marmota monax (woodchuck). RNAcentral's name for it is "tRNA.Ala". The record is from RNAcentral. Lineage: Eukaryota; Metazoa; Chordata; Mammalia; Rodentia; Sciuridae.